GACGAACGCUGGCGGCGUGCUUAACACAUGCAAGUCGAACGGAAAGGCCCUGCUUUUGUGGGGUGCUCGAGUGGCGAACGGGUGAGUAACACGUGAGUGACCUGCCCUUGACUUUGGGAUAACUUCAGGAAACUGGGGCUAAUACCGGAUAGGAGCUCCUGCUGCAUGGUGGGGGUUGGAAAGUUUCGGCGGUUGGGGAUGGACUCGCGGCUUAUCAGCUUGUUGGUGGGGUAGUGGCUUACCAAGGCUUUGACGGGUAGCCGGCCUGAGAGGGUGACCGGCCACAUUGGGACUGAGAUACGGCCCAGACUCCUACGGGAGGCAGCAGUGGGGAAUAUUGCACAAUGGGCGGAAGCCUGAUGCAGCAACGCCGCGUGCGGGAUGACGGCCUUCGGGUUGUAAACCGCUUUCGCCUGUGACGAAGCGUGAGUGACGGUAAUGGGUAAAGAAGCACCGGCUAACUACGUG
RNAcentral lists this ribosomal RNA (468 nucleotides) under uncultured bacterium. RNAcentral's name for it is "partial 16S ribosomal RNA". It matches the Rfam family "Bacterial small subunit ribosomal RNA", at positions 28 to 507 of the family's 1533-position model. The record is from RNAcentral.